GACGAACCGUGCGAACGUUGUUCGGAAUCACUGGGCGUAAAGGGCGCGUAGGCGGCCGUGUAAGUCACUUGUGAAAUCCCGGGGCUCAACUCCGGGGCUGCAGGUGAGACUGCAUGGCUAGAGCUUGGUAGAGGCGAGUGGAAUUCCCGGUGUAGCGGUGGAAUGCGUAGAUAUCGGGAAGAACACCGGUGGCGAAGGCGGCUCGCUGGGCCAAUGCUGACGCUGAGGCGCGAAAGCGUGGGGAGCAAACAGG
RNAcentral lists this ribosomal RNA (253 nucleotides) under uncultured bacterium. RNAcentral's name for it is "partial 16S ribosomal RNA". It matches the Rfam family "Bacterial small subunit ribosomal RNA", at positions 524 to 776 of the family's 1533-position model. The record is from RNAcentral.